GAAACGGCGUCCCAGUUCGGAUUGCAGCCUGCAACUCGGCUGCAUGAAGCUGGAAUCGCUAGUAAUCGCGGAUCAGAAUGCCGCGGUGAAUACGUUCCCGGGUCUUGUACACACCGCCCGUCACACCAUGGGAGUCGGGAAUGCCCGAAGUCAGUGACCCCAACCGAAAGGGGGGAGCUGCCGAAGGCAGGCCUGGUAACUGGGGUGAAGUCGUAACAAGGUAAC
This 225-nucleotide ribosomal RNA is filed under the name uncultured bacterium. Its description in RNAcentral is "partial 16S ribosomal RNA". It matches the Rfam family "Bacterial small subunit ribosomal RNA", at positions 1277 to 1500 of the family's 1533-position model. The record is from RNAcentral.